Molecule: ribosomal RNA, 801 nt
Filed under: human gut metagenome
Description: bacterial SSU rRNA
Rfam family: Bacterial small subunit ribosomal RNA
Source: RNAcentral
CUACGUGCCAGCAGCCGCGGUAAUACGUAGGGGGCUAGCGUUAUCCGGAUUUACUGGGCGUAAAGGGUGCGUAGGUGGUCCUUCAAGUCGGUGGUUAAAGGCUACGGCUCAACCGUAGUAAGCCGCCGAAACUGGAGGACUUGAGUGCAGGAGAGGAAAGUGGAAUUCCCAGUGUAGCGGUGAAAUGCGUAGAUAUUGGGAGGAACACCAGUAGCGAAGGCGGCUUUCUGGACUGCAACUGACACUGAGGCACGAAAGCGUGGGUAGCAAACAGGAUUAGAUACCCUGGUAGUCCACGCUGUAAACGAUGAGUACUAGGUGUCGGGGGUUACCCCCCUCGGUGCCGCAGCUAACGCAUUAAGUACUCCGCCUGGGGAGUACGCACGCAAGUGUGAAACUCAAAGGAAUUGACGGGGACCCGCACAAGUAGCGGAGCAUGUGGUUUAAUUCGAAGCAACGCGAAGAACCUUACCUAAGCUUGACAUCCCUCGGACAGGUGUUUAAUCACACCCUUCCUUCGGGACUGAGGUGACAGGUGGUGCAUGGUUGUCGUCAGCUCGUGUCGUGAGAUGUUGGGUUAAGUCCCGCAACGAGCGCAACCCUUGUCUUUAGUUGCCAGCAUUCAGUUGGGCACUCUAGAGAGACUGCCAGGGAUAACCUGGAGGAAGGUGGGGAUGACGUCAAAUCAUCAUGCCCCUUAUGCUUAGGGCUACACACGUGCUACAAUGGGUGGUACAGAGGGCAGCAAAGUCGUGAGGCCAAGCUAAUCCCUUAAAGCCAUUCUCAGUUCGGAUUGUAGGC